AGUCGAGGGGCAGCAUAUAGAUUGCUUGCAAUUUAUGAUGGCGACCGGCGCACGGGUGAGUAACGCGUAUCCAACCUACCCAUUACUAGGGAAUAACCCAGCGAAAGUUGGCCUAAUGCCCUAUGUAGUCGUUUGAUCGCCUGAGAUUUCGACGAAAGAUUUAUCGGUAUUGGAUGGGGAUGCGUCUGAUUAGCUUGUUGGCGGGGUAAAGGCCCACCAAGGCAACGAUCAGUAGGGGUUCUGAGAGGAAGGUCCCCCACAUUGGAACUGAGACACGGUCCAAACUCCUACGGGAGGCAGCAGUGAGGAAUAUUGGUCAAUGGGCGAGAGCCUGAACCAGCCAAGUAGCGUGCAGGAUGACGGCCCUAUGGGUUGUAAACUGCUUUUAUAUGGGAAUAAAGUGAGGGACGUGUCCCUUAUUGCAUGUACCAUACGAAUAAGGACCGGCUAAUUCCGUGCCAGCAGCCGCGGUAAUACGGAAGGUCCAGGCGUUAUCCGGAUUUAUUGGGUUUAAAGGGAGCGUAGGCUGUUUGUUAAGCGUGUUGUGAAAUGUAGGAGCUCAACUUUUAGAUUGCAGCGCGAACUGGCAGACUUGAGUGCGCACAACGUAGGCGGAAUUCAUGGUGUAGCGGUGAAAUGCUUAGAUAUCAUGACGAACUCCGAUUGCGAAGGCAGCUUACGGNNNNGCAACUGACG
RNAcentral lists this ribosomal RNA (696 nucleotides) under uncultured bacterium. RNAcentral's name for it is "bacterial SSU rRNA". It matches the Rfam family "Bacterial small subunit ribosomal RNA", at positions 60 to 745 of the family's 1533-position model. The record is from RNAcentral.